RNAcentral lists this ribosomal RNA (392 nucleotides) under uncultured Gammaproteobacteria bacterium. RNAcentral describes it as "bacterial SSU rRNA". It matches the Rfam family "Bacterial small subunit ribosomal RNA", at positions 370 to 779 of the family's 1533-position model. The record is from RNAcentral. Lineage: Bacteria; Pseudomonadati; Pseudomonadota; Gammaproteobacteria.
AAUGGGCGCAAGCCUGAUCCAGCCAUGCCGCGUGAGUGAAGAAGGCCUUAGGGUUGUAAAGCUCUUUCAGCAGGGAAGAUGAUGACGGUACCUGCAGAAGAAGCCCCGGCCAACUCCGUGCCAGCAGCCGCGGUAAUACGGAGGGGGCAAGCGUUGUUCGGAAUUACUGGGCGUAAAGCGCGCGUAGGCGGUUAGGUUAGUCAGGCGUGAAAUCCCGGGGCUCAACCCCGGAACUGCGCUUGAUACUGGCUAACUAGAGGUCUGGAGAGGGUAGUGGAAUUCCCAGUGUAGAGGUGAAAUUCGUAGAUAUUGGGAAGAACACCAGCGGCGAAGGCGGCUACCUGGACAGAUACUGACGCUGAGGUGCGAAAGCGUGGGGAGCAAACAGGAUU